GACUGAACCGAACUGAACUGAAAGCAAAGCUUGAGGAGGGCAUGGCAACCACUCCAGUAUUCUUGCCUGGUGGAGAAUCCCAUGGACAAGGGGCCUGGCAGGCUACAGUCCAAAGGGUCACAAAGAGUCCCAGACAUGACUAAAGUGACUUAGCAUGCUUUCACACAAAACAAAGCUUAACAUAUGCAGCACUUCAAGAAAGUGAAAGAAGAAAAAUUAUAAACCAUUUACUCUAAUGAAGUGAUAUGCAAAUGGAAUCAGAUAUACCUUUGAUGGACUAAGACUCUCUGCCUUAGAGAUUUGUUGCACAGAUCAAAUCAGGUGAAGGAAGUGUGUUUUAACCAAGAACACCCAGGUCAGAAGUGGACAAACCAGUUUCGAUGCCAUCUUUUUGCCUCCAAGUCAAGAACCCUUUUGCU
Molecule: long non-coding RNA, 419 nt
Organism: Dama dama (fallow deer)
Lineage: Eukaryota; Metazoa; Chordata; Mammalia; Artiodactyla; Cervidae
Exons: 3
Source: RefSeq, a predicted model, not a curated record